CCAGGGAAGUCACUAAGAAAAUAAUUUUUAAAAUACAGUAAAAUAAACAGCUUAAAAUGGCACACUAGAAACUAUCUACUUAACUUAAAAGUAAAUAGCAAUGAAGGAACAGGAUAACAAAAAAGACAGAAAUGUACAAAAGCAACCCAGCAAAAUGAAAGACAUAAAUCCUACCUUAUGAGUAAUUAAAAUUAAUUUAAAUGGGUUAAACACUUUAUUUUAAAAGGUAGAGUCCUGAUUUAAAAUCAUAUUACAAACUUAUAAUAAACAAAACAGCAUGGCACUGGCAUAAAAACAGAAACAUAGACCAAGGGAGCAGAACUCAGUGACCAGAAAUAAAUUCAAACAUAUAUGAUCAACCAAUUUAUGACAAGGGCUCUGUGAUGGUUAAUACUGAGUGUCAAAUUGAUUGUAUUGAAGGACACAAAGUAUUGAUCCUGAGUAUGCCUGUGAGGGUGUUGCCAAAAGAGAUUAACAUUUGAGUCAGUGGGCUGGGAAAGGCAGACCCACCCUUAAUGCGGGUGGGCACAAUCUAAUCAGCUGCCAGCGCAGCUAGAAUAUAAGCAGGCAUAAAAAUGUGAAAACAGAGACUGGCCUAUCCUCUCAGCCUACAUCAUUUUCCUGUGCUGGAUGCUUCCUGAUCUUGAACAUUGGAUUCCA
This 660-nucleotide long non-coding RNA is filed under the name Homo sapiens (human). RNAcentral describes it as "non-protein coding lnc-ACP1-15:1". The record is from RNAcentral. Lineage: Eukaryota; Metazoa; Chordata; Mammalia; Primates; Hominidae.